GGGGAUGACCGGUUUCGACAGGGCAUGUGUUGGGCUUGGUUGCACUCCGAGUUUCAGCAUGGAUGGACUCGUUAAAGAAGUCUAUGCAAAUCCAGAUGCAGACGAUUACUCGUAUGCAAUGGCUGCCUAGUUAGCGUUUAGUUAAUUUAGUCAGCUUUCGCUCGCAGGUAGAGGCGCUUACUCUGAAGCCUGCCGGUGUCAUAACCCGCGCUUGAGCUAACUCGAUUUAUCGGGACUGCUCGCGCAGUAAGAUUCACUAAUCUAUGUCCGGUGGGAUUGGUGAAUACACAAUCGGGAUAGUGGGCUGACCUUUGUCGGUGAAGUCGUAGUUCACGAAAAACAAACCAUCGAAGAUGAGUGUGGUGGCCAACUCUGGCAGUGCUUUGGACGCGGGUUCGACUCCCGCCAUCUCCACAU
RNAcentral lists this transfer-messenger RNA (417 nucleotides) under Chlorobiales bacterium. It matches the Rfam family "transfer-messenger RNA". From Rfam's summary of the family: Bacterial tmRNA, also known as 10Sa RNA or SsrA, is named for its dual tRNA and mRNA-like properties. Its role is to liberate the mRNA from a stalled ribosome. The record is from RNAcentral. Lineage: Bacteria; Pseudomonadati; Chlorobiota; Chlorobiia; Chlorobiales.